This 628-nucleotide ribosomal RNA is filed under the name Lactiplantibacillus plantarum. RNAcentral's name for it is "bacterial SSU rRNA". It matches the Rfam family "Bacterial small subunit ribosomal RNA", at positions 33 to 626 of the family's 1533-position model. The record is from RNAcentral. Lineage: Bacteria; Bacillati; Bacillota; Bacilli; Lactobacillales; Lactobacillaceae.
ACGCUGGCGGCGUGCCUAAUACAUGCAAGUCGAACGAACUCUGGUAUUGAUUGGUGCUUGCAUCAUGAUUUACAUUUGAGUGAGUGGCGAACUGGUGAGUAACACGUGGGAAACCUGCCCAGAAGCGGGGGAUAACACCUGGAAACAGAUGCUAAUACCGCAUAACAACUUGGACCGCAUGGUCCGAGUUUGAAAGAUGGCUUCGGCUAUCACUUUUGGAUGGUCCCGCGGCGUAUUAGCUAGAUGGUGGGGUAACGGCUCACCAUGGCAAUGAUACGUAGCCGACCUGAGAGGGUAAUCGGCCACAUUGGGACUGAGACACGGCCCAAACUCCUACGGGAGGCAGCAGUAGGGAAUCUUCCACAAUGGACGAAAGUCUGAUGGAGCAACGCCGCGUGAGUGAAGAAGGGUUUCGGCUCGUAAAACUCUGUUGUUAAAGAAGAACAUAUCUGAGAGUAACUGUUCAGGUAUUGACGGUAUUUAACCAGAAAGCCACGGCUAACUACGUGCCAGCAGCCGCGGUAAUACGUAGGUGGCAAGCGUUGUCCGGAUUUAUUGGGCGUAAAGCGAGCGCAGGCGGUUUUUUAAGUCUGAUGUGAAAGCCUUCGGCUCAACCGAAGAAGUGCAU